This is a long non-coding RNA of Epinephelus fuscoguttatus (brown-marbled grouper), 358 nucleotides long. RefSeq lists it as uncharacterized. The record is from RefSeq and is a predicted model, not a curated record. The transcript is spliced from 3 exons. Lineage: Eukaryota; Metazoa; Chordata; Actinopteri; Perciformes; Serranidae.
ACAGCAGUUUUAAUAUACUAAUUGUUAGCACUUAAGAAGUCAUAUUCAUGUCUCAUUAAAUCAACUGUACACACAGUACUGUCCAACUUCUAUCUGUGGACAUGUUGCUAUGGUGUUAACAUAUGCACAAAAUACAGCCUAAUGCCUUGUUAUCAACUAGCAUUGCUUACAGUGGCUACCCUGGCUAGAACUGGUAUUGCUAACAACAUGUUUUUCAAGUUUUCCAACUUGUACUGGAACGCUGUCAACUCUGAUGUGACGUCCAUCCCAGCUCCAACCUCCGACCUCUGAGGUACGUGGUCGAGAUCACACAUUUACUUACCAAGGCAGCCUCUCCAGUGUCAGUACAGAGGAAGAG